RNAcentral lists this ribosomal RNA (759 nucleotides) under uncultured bacterium. RNAcentral's name for it is "bacterial SSU rRNA". It matches the Rfam family "Bacterial small subunit ribosomal RNA", at positions 8 to 760 of the family's 1533-position model. The record is from RNAcentral.
AGAGUUUGAUCAUGGCUCAGAUUGAACGCUGGCGGCAGGCUUAACACAUGCAAGUCGAGCGGGGGAAGGUAGCUUGCUACCGGACCUAGCGGCGGACGGGUGAGUAAUGCUUAGGAAUCUGCCUAUUAGUGGGGGACAACAUCUCGAAAGGGAUGCUAAUACCGCAUACGUCCUACGGGAGAAAGCAGGGGAUCUUCGGACCUUGCGCUAAUAGAUGAGCCUAAGUCGGAUUAGCUAGCUGGUGGGGUAAAGGCCUACCAAGGCGACGAUCUGUAGCGGGUCUGAGAGGAUGAUCCGCCACACUGGGACUGAGACACGGCCCAGACUCCUACGGGAGGCAGCAGUGGGGAAUAUUGGACAAUGGGCGCAAGCCUGAUCCAGCCAUGGCCGCGUGUGUGAAGAAGGCCUUAUGGUUGUAAAGCACUUUAAGCGAGGAGGAGGCUACUUUAGAUAAUACCUAGAGAUAGUGGACGUUACUCGCAGAAUAAGCACCGGCUAACUCUGUGCCUGCAGCCGCGGUAAUACAGAGGGUGCAAGCGUUAAUCGGAUUUACUGGGCGUAAAGCGCGCGUAGGCGGCUAAUUAAGUCAAAUGUGAAAUCCCCGAGCUUAACUUGGGAAUUGCAUUCGAUACUGGUUAGCUAGAGUGUGGGAGAGGAUGGUAGAAUUCCAGGUGUAGCGGUGAAAUGCGUAGAGAUCUGGAGGAAUACCGAUGGCGAAGGCAGCCAUCUGGCCUAACACUGACGCUGAGGUGCGAAAGC